This 253-nucleotide long non-coding RNA is filed under the name Amborella trichopoda. RNAcentral's name for it is "long non-coding RNA (ATRI_LNC001258)". Lineage: Eukaryota; Viridiplantae; Streptophyta; Magnoliopsida; Amborellales; Amborellaceae. The record is from RNAcentral.
CAGAAGUGGUUUAACUUCUGAGGUUUCUGGUAUAUCUUCCGGUGGAUCAGGACUAUAUGUUGAAAUAAGAUGAUUGAAUUCUAGUUCAUCUGUGUCUGACUCUUGAUGAGAUAAAUUUUGUAAUUCUAGAGUUUUUAUUCUGUUUUUUAAUUGGUGAACUUCCUUUUUGACUUCUUUAAUCUCUUGUUUUAAGUCUGAAAUAGAAGGUUCUUUUUGUUGAGUAAUAUGUUGUUCACUCACUCUUUUCAUAAUA